Molecule: non-coding RNA, 24 nt
Filed under: Arabidopsis thaliana (thale cress)
Lineage: Eukaryota; Viridiplantae; Streptophyta; Magnoliopsida; Brassicales; Brassicaceae
Source: RNAcentral
UAUGAAGUUUAGGUGGCAAGCUCU